AUGAAGAAACUGAGUCCCAUAGAAAGGGAGAGUUUUGAAGACCCAAGGUCAAUCAAGAUGAUGGAUAAAGGACAACACCCAGCUGAACUGUUCUAAUAAUCCCUUCCAAACAACUUUAAAAUAGCACCUAAGAGCAAAUUCUGGAGUGGCAGAGCCAUCAACAAGUCUAGGAGCAUGAGAAGUUGAGACCUUAGAGGAGAGAAUGAAUACCCAAAGAAGGAGGAUGUGGAAAAUUUCUGGCCACCUCUAUUAUUGUAAGAAGUCUAACACAGUGAAAAUACCUGUAGCCUUUGAGCUUCAAGCUAAGGGAGCAGCGACAUAGCCCACUCCUCCCAUGGGGAAGAGAUAGCAUCCAGGAGAGGACUCAAGCUGAUGCUGGAAGCAGAGAGACUCCACGAGUUCAUGGCUGGUGAGAGCCAGUUGCAACCUUAGGACCAAACGAGCAAUGUAUGAGAAUAUCAGAUGGCUGAGAGCAACAAUACCAGGCAGAGAGUACAUGCCGUACCCACACACCCAAGAGAGACUUUACCCAGCCCAAGGAGAUAGCAUGCCACUCCAGACCAGCAGAGACAGGAAUACCAACAGAAAACAUCCGGGUUUUACAGCAUCAGGCAUCUUCCCUAGAGUUAUCUGCGGAGCUGAAGAUCCAUCCUUUCCCUAUGCCAACUACCUCUCCCCAUCCUUUCAUCUUGAUACAGCCUUUGGCCUUGCCAUUCCUCACUCCAUAUCCCUCUCUGUCCCUCCUGUCCCACUGUGUCCUCUGAAAUCCCCCAUUCCAAUUAUUAUUUUUAUUUUCAUUGAUGUUGUUUUUUUUAUAUUAUGUCUUUCCCCAUAUAUAUCCUCUCCCUUUAAAAUUAUCCUUUAAAACAAAGAAUAAAAAUGGCGGGGGGGGGGGAGCA
RNAcentral lists this long non-coding RNA (899 nucleotides) under Monodelphis domestica (gray short-tailed opossum). RNAcentral's name for it is "lncRNA (ENSMODG00000031684.2)". Lineage: Eukaryota; Metazoa; Chordata; Mammalia; Didelphimorphia; Didelphidae. The record is from RNAcentral.